CGACGGCUGACACAACAGCAGCGAGGAAUCCCACCGUCAUAGCUUCCCACGGCUGACGAACUGCUGCCAUGGAGACGCCGAUGGCGACGCCACCAGCGAGGAUGCACGUCUGCAUGUGGCCCUGAAGGAGAGGACAUAAGUCAGUCAGGCCAAUCUCUCAAAAUGAUCUCCAAGUGGAAUCAUCUGCUGACCUUUCAAAUACGAGAGUGACCCAACCU
Thalassophryne amazonica is the source of this 218-nucleotide long non-coding RNA. RefSeq lists it as uncharacterized. The transcript is spliced from 2 exons. NCBI's taxonomy places the organism in Eukaryota, Metazoa, Chordata, Actinopteri, Batrachoidiformes, Batrachoididae. The record is from RefSeq and is a predicted model, not a curated record.